This 321-nucleotide ribosomal RNA is filed under the name uncultured Prevotella sp. RNAcentral describes it as "partial 16S ribosomal RNA". Lineage: Bacteria; Pseudomonadati; Bacteroidota; Bacteroidia; Bacteroidales; Prevotellaceae. The record is from RNAcentral.
GGAGUUUGGACCGUGUCUCAGUUCCAAUGUGGGGGACCUUCCUCUCAGAACCCCUACCGAUCGAAGGCUUGGUGGGCCGUUACCCCGCCAACUACCUAAUCGGACGCAUCCCCAUCCAUGGCCGAUGAAAUCUUUAGUCCUCAUUAGAUGUCUGCAAAGGACCCCAUAGGGCAUUAAUCCGCUUUUCAGCGGGCUAUUCCCUGGCCGUGGGCAGGUUGGAUACGCGUUACUCACCCGUGCGCCGGUCGCCAUCUAUCAAAGCAAGCUCCGAUAAUGAUGCCCCUCGACUUGCAUGUGUUAAGCCUGUAGCUAGCGUUCAUC